ACUCAAAUGAAUUGACGGGGACCUGCACAAGCGGUGGAGCGUGUGGUUUAAUUCGAUAGCAAGCGAAGAACCUUACCAAGAUUUGACAUCUCUGGAAAGCCCUGGAAACAGGGCCGUGCCGCAAGGAGCCAGAAGACAGGUGCUGCACGGUUGUCGUCAGCUCGUGCUGUGAAGUGUCCCGUUCAGUCGGUUAACGAGCGCAACCCCUAUUCUGUGUUGAAUUUUUCACAGAAAACUGCCCCAGUUAAUGGGGAGGAAGGUGGGGAUUACGUCAAAUCAGCGUGGCUCUUACAUCUUGGGCUACACACGCGCUACAAUGGGAAGGACAAUGGGUUGCCAAGCCGCGAGGCGGAGCUAAUCCCACCAAACCUUCCCUCAGUUCGGAUUGGAGGCUGCAACUCGCCUCCAUGAAGUCGGAAUCGCUAGUAACGGCCGGUCAGCCAUACGGCCGUGAAUACGUUCUCAGGUCUUGUACACACCGCCCGU
RNAcentral lists this ribosomal RNA (486 nucleotides) under uncultured bacterium. RNAcentral's name for it is "partial 16S ribosomal RNA". It matches the Rfam family "Bacterial small subunit ribosomal RNA", at positions 899 to 1397 of the family's 1533-position model. The record is from RNAcentral.